AGAGUUUGAUCCUGGCUCAGAACGUACGCUGGCGGCACGCCUAACACAUGCAAGUCGAACGCAGUAGCAAUACUGAGUGGCAAACGGGUGAGUAUAAUGUGGGAAUCUGCCUUUUGGUUCGGAAUAACACGAGGAAACUUGUGCUAAUACCGGAUAAGCCUUUACAGGGAAAGUUUUAAUGCCAAAAGAUGAGCCCGCACUUGAUUAGCUAGUUGGUAAGGUAAUAGCUUACCAAGGCAACGAUCAAUAGCUGUUCUUAGAGGAAGACCAGCCACAUUGGGACUGAGACACGGCCCAAACUCCUACGGGAGGCAGCAGUGGGGAAUCUUGCACAAUGGGGGAAACCCUGAUGCAGCGAUGCCGCGUGAGUGAAGAAGGCCUUUGGGUUGUAAAACUCUUUCGUCGGGGAAGAAAAUGACUGUACCCGAAUAAGAAGGUCCGGCUAACUUCGUGCCAGCAGCCGCGGUAAUACGAAGGGACCUAGCGUAGUUCGGAAUUACUGGGCUUAAAGAGUUCGUAGGUGGUUAAAAUAGUUGAUGGUGAAAUCCCAAGGCUCAACCUUGGAACUGCCAUCAAAACUUUUUAGCUAGAGUAUGAUAGAGGAAAGUGGAAUUUCUAGUGUAGAGGUGAAAUUCGUAGAUAUUAGAAAGAACAUCAAAAGCGAAGGCAACUUUCUGGAUCAUUACUGACACUGAGGAACGAAAGCAUGGGUAGCGAAGAGGAUUAGAUACCCUCGUAGUCCAUGCCGUAAACGAUGUGUGCUAGACGUUGGAAACUUAGU
RNAcentral lists this ribosomal RNA (781 nucleotides) under uncultured bacterium. RNAcentral describes it as "bacterial SSU rRNA". It matches the Rfam family "Bacterial small subunit ribosomal RNA", at positions 8 to 835 of the family's 1533-position model. The record is from RNAcentral.